Molecule: ribosomal RNA, 253 nt
Filed under: uncultured prokaryote
Description: partial 16S ribosomal RNA
Rfam family: Bacterial small subunit ribosomal RNA
Source: RNAcentral
ACGUAGGGUGCAAGCGUUGUCCGGAUUUACUGGGCGUAAAGAGCGCGUAGGCGGCUCGUUAAGUGAGAAGUGAAAGCUGUGGGCUCAACCCACAAACCGCUUUUCAUACUGGCGAGCUGGAGUGAUGCAGAGGUGGAUAGAAUUCCCGGUGUAGCGGUGAAAUGCGUUGAUAUCGGGAGGAAUACCCGUGGCGAAGGCGGCCUGCUGGGCAGUGGCUGACGCUGAGGCGCGACAGCGUGGGGAGCAAACAGGA